GACACAGGAACUGAAAAACCUGAGAAGCUCCAGCCACUCCGCAGGGGCCCUGCAGGGAAGCGUGGAAAGGCGGCACAGGGCUGGACCCAGAGGAGCUCUCAGAUGCUGGACUGGACUGUUUCAGGGGUCAUCUAGCCCAUUCCCCGCCUCCAGGCGAGGAUUUGCUUGAGCCUGGAAAGAUGAAGGAUCCUCCCAGUGCCGUCAAGCCCCGGAUUCCACCUCCCUGUAGGUGGACUGCCAGCGCAGGCCCUGACAACGCAGAGAAAGACACAGGACCCAGCUGGGCCAGUGACAGCAGGAGCUCCUGGUGCCACAGG
RNAcentral lists this long non-coding RNA (317 nucleotides) under Homo sapiens (human). RNAcentral describes it as "HSALNT0316940". Lineage: Eukaryota; Metazoa; Chordata; Mammalia; Primates; Hominidae. The record is from RNAcentral.